RNAcentral lists this ribosomal RNA (378 nucleotides) under uncultured bacterium. RNAcentral describes it as "partial 16S ribosomal RNA". It matches the Rfam family "Bacterial small subunit ribosomal RNA", at positions 338 to 733 of the family's 1533-position model. The record is from RNAcentral.
CCUACGGGUGGCUGCAGUAGGGAAUAUUGCUCAAUGGGGGAAACCCUGAAGCAGCAACGCCGCGUGGGGGAUGAAGGUUUUCGGAUUGUAAACUCCUUUUGGUAGAGAAGAUAAUGACGGUAUCUAACGAAUAAGCACCGGCUAACGCCGUGCCAGCAGCCGCGGUAAUACGGAGGGUGGAAGCGGUACUCGGAAUCACUCGGCGUAAAGGGCGCGUAGGCGGGAUAGCAAGUCAGUUGUGAAAUCCUAUGGCUUAACCAUCGAACUGCAAUUGAAACUGGUGUUCUAGAGUAUGGGAGAGGUAGGUGGAAUUCUUGGUGUAGCGGUGAAAUGCGUAGAGAUCAAGAGGAAUACUGAUUGCGAAGGCGGCCUGCUGGA